RNAcentral lists this ribosomal RNA (482 nucleotides) under uncultured bacterium. Its description in RNAcentral is "partial 16S ribosomal RNA". It matches the Rfam family "Bacterial small subunit ribosomal RNA", at positions 30 to 507 of the family's 1533-position model. The record is from RNAcentral.
AUUGAACGCUGGCGGCAUGCUUUACACAUGCAAGUCGAACGGCAGUGCGGGGCAACCUGGCGGCGAGUGGCGAACGGGUGAGUAAUACAUCGGAACGUACCCAGAAGUGGGGGAUAACGUAGCGAAAGUUACGCUAAUACCGCAUACGUUCUACGGAAGAAAGUGGGGGACCUUCGGGCCUCAUGCUUUUGGAGCGGCCGAUGUCUGAUUAGCUAGUUGGUGAGGUAAAGGCUCACCAAGGCGACGAUCAGUAGCUGGUCUGAGAGGACGACCAGCCACACUGGGACUGAGACACGGCCCAGACUCCUACGGGAGGCAGCAGUGGGGAAUUUUGGACAAUGGGCGCAAGCCUGAUCCAGCAAUGCCGCGUGAGUGAAGAGGGCCUUCGGGUUGUAAAGCUCUUUUGUCAGGGAAGAAACGGCUGAGGAUAAUACCUUCGGCUAAUGACGGUACCUGAAGAAUAAGCACCGGCUAACUACGUG